RNAcentral lists this ribosomal RNA (837 nucleotides) under uncultured archaeon. Its description in RNAcentral is "bacterial SSU rRNA". It matches the Rfam family "Archaeal small subunit ribosomal RNA", at positions 83 to 922 of the family's 1478-position model. The record is from RNAcentral.
GACGGCUCGGUAACGCGUAGUCAAUCUACCCUAUGGACGGGAAUAACCUCGGGAAACUGAGAAUAAUGCCCGAUAGAACAUUAUGCCUGGAAUGGUUUAUGUUUCAAAUGAUUUAUCGCCAUAGGAUGGGACUGCGGCCUAUCAGUUUGUUGGUGAGGUAAUGGCCCACCAAGACUAUUACAGGUACGGGCUCUGAGAGGAGUAGCCCGGAGAUGGGUACUGAGACACGGACCCAGGCCCUAUGGGGCGCAGCAGGCGAGAAAACUUUGCAAUGUGCGAAAGCACGACAAGGUUAAUCCGAGUGGUUUCUGCUAAAGAAACCUUUUGUCAGUCCUAGAAACACUGAUGAAUAAGGGGUGGGCAAGUUCUGGUGUCAGCCGCCGCGGUAAAACCAGCACCUCAAGUGGUCAGGAUGAUUAUUGGGCCUAAAGCAUCCGUAGCUCGUUUUGUAAGUUUUCGGUUAAAUCCAUGCGCUUAACGUAUGGGCUGCCGGGAAUACUGCAUAACUAGGAAGUGGGAGAGGUAGACGGUACUCGGUAGGAAGGGGUAAAAUCCUUUGAUCUAUUGAUGACCACCUGUGGCGAAGGCGGUCUACCAGAACACGUUCGACGGUGAGGGAUGAAAGCUGGGGGAGCAAACCGGAUUAGAUACCCGGGUAGUCCCAGCUGUAAACUAUGCAAACUCAGUGAUGCGUUGGCUUGUGGCCAAUGCAGCGCUGCAGGGAAGCCGUUAAGUUUGCCGCCUGGAAAGUACGUACGCAAGUAUGAAACUCAAAGGAAUUGGCGGGGGAGCACCACAAGGGGUGAAGCCUGCGGUUCAAUUGGACUCAACGCCGGU